Molecule: RNA transcript, 3643 nt
Organism: Apis laboriosa (Himalayan honeybee)
Lineage: Eukaryota; Metazoa; Arthropoda; Insecta; Hymenoptera; Apidae
Gene: Pdzd8
Gene name: PDZ domain-containing protein 8
Exons: 8
Source: RefSeq, a predicted model, not a curated record
CUGUCAUAAUACGUUUUAUCCAUGUUCAUUGGCAUUAUUAGAUUUUCUAAAAUGUAUUGUACGAAUAUUUUCUUGUGAAAAUGAAUAUUUUUUAAAUUCUUAUAAAAUUUUAUUUAUAUUUUUAUGAAAAUGUCUUAAUUUUAAUUUAUAAUGAUAGGUGAAAGUGUUCUGAAUAACUGUUGACCCGUGAAACGAAAGUGAUCAUAACAAUGUAAUUCAGCAUUAAAAAAACAAUAUCUUUUUAAUGAUCGAUUCGAAAUCAUACAUAUUAUAAGAGUUCCUAUUUUGUAUGAACGUCGUAAUGUAUUUAUCUUAAAAAUAUUAUUUAAUAAUAUUAAAAUAUAUUUAAUAUGUUUACAUGAUUGUUAUUUCAUAUUUAAUUCACAAGAAGACUUUUUAUACAAUUUAUUUGAAUAUUUUUCAAUCUUAGUAGUGAAAAAAUUGGUGUUAAUCAGGGAAACAAUUAAGUUUCCAAUAGAUGAUAUAUUAAUAUGGAUAUUUUUGAAUUUAUUUGUGUAUCUGUGAUUACAUUUAUGUGUGGUAUAAUAUGUACAAUUGUAUUGGAAUUUUAUUUCUUCAAAAAAUUUUUGGAACAAGCACCUUUAGCAAAUUCACCAAAAAAAUCACUUCACCAUGACAAGGCUCAAUUACCUAAAGAAUUAUUUGAAAAAAUUCAAGAUGAAAAAAUAAAUUCCAUAAAUAUAUCACGUCAGAGUAUGUGUCAAGGCAAUGAAAACUUGGCAAUAAAUUUAACAUUACAAUUUCUAUUCAAUGAACUUAGAAAUGCUGAGAGAGUACGUCUUUGGUUGUAUAGAAAAUUAAAUAAUGAAUUCAAAGAAUUAUUAACUCAAUCUACUACUGGAAAAUUAUUGGACAGUGUACAGUUAAGAGAUUUAAAUUUAGGUUCACAAUUUCCUACAAUAAAAGGUUUAGAAGUUGCAGAUUCAAAAAUAGAUGCUGAUACAGGAUUAUUGGAAACAUUGGAUUUAUCUUUAGAUUUACAUUAUUCUGGAAAUUUUCAAUUAUCAAUAGAUGUUAAAAUGUUAUUGGGAAAGACUGCUUAUAUGGCUUUACAAGUGAAACGUAUCAGUGGUAGAGCUAGAUUACAAUUUACACGUGUUCCAUAUACUCAUUGGUCUUUAAGUUUCUAUUCAGAUCCUAUACUUGAAUUGGAAGUGCAAUCCCAAUUUCAAGGUCGUCAAUUACAACCACAAAUUAUUUCUUUAAUCACAGGACAAAUUCGGAGAGCAGUACGGAGAAAGCACACAUUACCUCGCUAUAAAAUGCGUUACAAACCAUUUUUCCGCAGACUAAACGAUGAAGCCGUAGAUUUAUCUGAAGUCGCUAAUAUGCAAUUAAUACCAGGUUACUUGGAAGUAUCAUUGGUUGAAGUAACUAGAUUAAAUCUUGGACCUAAUAUACUUAAUGCAGAGGAUAGAUCACAAGUUGAAAUAUAUUGUACAAUAAGCAUAGAUUCAACACCUUGGGUGUAUUUAACUCAAUAUACUGGCGUUCCUUAUAUGGUGUUGGAUUUAAUUAUCAGUAAAGUUGGGUCACAGCAACUUGGUGUAGUAUUUAAACAAGAAUUUGUGCCAGAAAUAGGUCAUACAUGUGUAUUAGUUGAAACUAUAAUAGUUGGAAGUCCUGCUGCAAUUGCUGAAAUGAAAAAAGGGGAUAUUUUAAUAGCAGUAGAUGGUAAAAAAGUAUCUAAUAUGAAUCAAGUAGCUAAAUUUGUAAAAAGUGCUGUACAAAGACGUUUUAUCAUAAGGGUUGAAAGAAAGUAUUCUAAAAUAGAUUUAGACAAGCAAACUAGUAUGAAAUUGGAUAGUGAAAAAAUAUCUGCAGAAAGAGGAGGAGAUAAAAAAACAUUAAAAAUUGAUCCCAUAUCAAAUAAGGGAGAUACACCCAGUACAGAAGAUAGCAAAAUCAAAUUUGAAACUCAAAUUAAAUUUUCAGAUUUAAAAGAUUAUGAAAAUGAAAUUGUUGAUAAAUUGGAAAUGGGUAAUAAAUUUUUUAGAAGAAGAAAAAGCAGUGCACAUAUUGAUGAUACUGCUCAAACACCAGAUACUACACCUUCCAGAAAAAUUUCGACUACUUCAAAUCAAUCAAUAUCGAGUAAUUCUCAAUUUUGUUUUAAUGAUAGUUAUGUAACAAAUAUAUCAGAUUUGUAUUAUACCACUAAAGAAAAGGAAUAUGCUUCUUUAAUUACUUUUGAGGAAACUAGAACUUUCCAAAUUGAUUCAGAACUUCAGUAUUUAAAUAUUGGAGUGUGGGGUCGUGUAAGAGGAGGAGAAAUUCAUGCAAAAUUAUUAGGAUAUAUUAAUGUUCCCAUGAAAUUAAUUUUAGCACAAUGCUAUACAUCCUCAACUGGUCAUUAUCUUAAAUGUCAUGCUUUAUUACCACCAGAUAGUGCUUCCUUGACGACAGUUCAUCCAAAACUACAAGAUUAUUCAGGAUUUGAUCCCACACUUUGUUAUGGUGAUAUUUUAUUAUCUUAUAUAUGGGAAUCCAAUUAUUCAAAUCGCCAUAUACUUGAUAUGGGAAAAAAGGAAAAUACAGAAGCUAUUAAAACACAACCAUCUUUGAGUGAAGAAAUUGUUGAAAAAAAAAUGCAUGACUUUAUUAGAACUCACUUUCAUAGAGCAACACAUUGCGAUUUUUGUACAAAAAAGAUUUGGCUAAAAGAUGCGGUACAGUGCAGAGAUUGUGGUAUGGUAUGUCAUAAAAAAUGCGAAGUCCGGUGUCAAGCAUCGGGAAUAUGUGGAGCCGAAAGUAUAACAACAAUAGCAUUAGAAGCGGAUGAAAUAGAGCCUACUCUUAUCGGAGAAUCGGGUCCAGAAAUUUCACUAACCAGUUGUGAAGAUACUGUACAGGGUGCAACUAUGAUGGCCAUGAAGGCUAGUAUAGCUAAUACUCUAUUGGGCCUGAAGAAGGCUGGAAGUACCAGUUGCUUGGCCCCGCCGGCUUCCGGUACUGGUUUGGCAUCUAGAAGUCUUCCCCCAAGUCCCUGUGCAUCCCGCAAGGUAGAAUUUAAUAACACAAAUUUGUUCAGUUGGAACAGAGAAGGAUCAUAUUGAUCGUUUUACUAAUAAUAAUUAUAUUAGCUAUUAAUAAUUCAUCAAUUGUGAUUAAAUCAAAAUGUAAUUUCAGGCCUUCUCUGCUCUAUUUCUAUUCUUUGUCCUAUUCUUUUAUAUAUACCAGCAAUUGUAGGGGGCAGAAAACACGCUUAUGAUUAUAUUGAUUGUGAUUUUAAAGCUUAUAUUAUUUGAUUCGCUUCGCGUUCAAUCUUUCGUGCAACGUUUUGAAAACUCUUAUAUGAGCUUUUACUUUCUAUUGCAAACGACUAUGUUUUUUAUUUCUUAUGGCACUAAUUGUUAUGUUGAAGUAACAGAUAUGCAGAUGCACAUUGAAUCAUCAUGCUUAUUAUAUAAAAUAUCGUUGUAUUGAUGCUGUAUAAUUAUUACAAUUUCUAAUAGUGCAAUAAACGAUGCUUUCUUUACACGUUUAUUAUCAUAUCAAUCAAAGAAUUCAUUGGUCGGAGGCUUGGGCAUAAGUCCUGAUCUCUUGGAGGGUGCUGAGCCAAGUGUGGCAGCUCCUCUAGUAGCAGGGGAUUUGGAUGAUGGUCUUAUGUCUAGGGCUAAAG